GAUGAAGAACGUAGCGAAAUGCGAUAAGUAAUGUGAAUUGCAGAAUCCAGUGAAUCAUCGAAUCUUUGAACGCACAUUGCGCCCGCCAGCAUUCUGGCGGGCAUGCCUGUUCGAGCGUCAUUUCAACCCUCGACCUCCCCUUGGGGAGGUCGGUGUUGGGGACCGGCAGCACACCGCCGGCCCUGAAAUGGAGUGGCGGCCCGUCUGCGGCGACCUCUGCGUAGUAAUACAGCUCGCACCGGAACCCCGACGCGGCCACGCCGUAAAACACCCAACUUCUGAACGUUGACCUCGAAUCAGGUAGGACUACCCGCUGAACUUAAGCAUAUCAAUAAGCGGAGGA
RNAcentral lists this unclassified non-coding RNA (343 nucleotides) under soil metagenome. RNAcentral describes it as "partial contains 5.8S ribosomal RNA, internal transcribed spacer 2, and large subunit ribosomal RNA". The stretch from base 1 to 120 matches the Rfam family "5.8S ribosomal RNA", at positions 35 to 154 of the family's 154-position model. The record is from RNAcentral.